GCGAACUUCUGCUGCGGCUCACCUGGGGGCGUCAUCGCCCCGCUUUCUUGACGGACAGCUCUGCGAGCCAAUCGGCGGUGCCGGAGUCAGACCACGUGAUCUUAUCCGGCUUGUAUUAUGACAUACAUAAUGGAAAGCCUUAAGCUGGUGAUGGAAUGUUAAACAGCUGUCAAAAGGAACAAAUUACAAAGAAUUUAUUCAUGUUAAUGUUAAAUGAUGACACCAUACUUAACCAGAGUCAGUGUAUCUUUCGAGAAGAGGGAGAAGGGACUGCAGGGGAGCCGGGAGAGAAAAAUGGUGCCCUGGCCAACUUGAAUCUUUUAUAUAAAUAAACAGCCUACUCGAUCACAGAUACAAAAGACACAGGCAGUGAUGGCUUAUCACAGAAAAAUGGACACUACUAGACGACUUGAAGUUUUGUUGUGCUCAAUCACAGGUGGAGCGAGCGAUGGGGUGUCUCAUUGGCUCUGUGCUUUACACGCUGCAGGUCUACAGAGGCGCAUGGCACUGAGGCGUAAACCUUCAGGUGGUGCGGCGGAUGGAGUGUUUUGAAUACGAGGAGCGUGUGUUUCCCGUGUUGAGUAAUUUUCUCCCCAUUGUCUCCUGGCCAUGCAGUGACUAGCACGAGCGGCUCGUUUUCCCCGUCUCCCUUACGCCCGUCCUCUCCUCUUCCACCUCUUCCUCUUCUUCCUCCUGGCUCAGAAAUGUAUUGGAGCGUACCCUGUCUUACUCCCCAUCGCACGGUAAAGCGCCGUCGUCGUCACCGUAGGACGGCAGGGCGGUGCCUAAUUCGUCCACGCACCAGCAGUGGCCUCGCUGCAUGCCUUUAGAGGACCGACACUGAAGAGCGACAGAAGCCUCGAGUGUCGCAGUUGGGGAUGUAGAUGUCACGAUCAGACUGGAAAACGGUGAGCUCGAGGCCACGCAGCACGGCGUUGAGCAGUUUCCGGCACGGAGCCUGGAGAGGAAAUGAAAGUACAGUGGAAAAAGAUGGGAG
Long non-coding RNA from Tachysurus fulvidraco (yellow catfish), 997 nucleotides. RefSeq lists it as uncharacterized. The transcript has 4 exons. The record is from RefSeq and is a predicted model, not a curated record. Lineage: Eukaryota; Metazoa; Chordata; Actinopteri; Siluriformes; Bagridae.